CCUACGGGUGGCAGCAGUGGGGAAUAUUGGGCAAUGGGCGCAAGCCUGACCCAGCAACGCCGCGUGAAGGAAGAAGGCUCUCGGGUUGUAAACUUCUUUUAUCAGGGACGAAGCAAGUGACGGUACCUGAUGAAUAAGCCACGGCUAACUACGUACCAGCAGCCGCGGUAAUACGUAGGUGGCAAGCGAUAUCCGGAUUUACUGGGUGUAAAGGGCGUGUAGGCGGGAAAGCAAGUCAGAUGUGAAAACCAUGGGCUCAACCUGUGGCCUGCAUUUGAAACUGUUUUUCUUGAGUACUGGAGAGGCAGAUGGAAUUCAUAGUGUAGCGGUGAAAUGCGUAGAUAUUAGGAGGAACACCAGUGGCGAAGGCGGUCUGCUGGACAGCAACUGACGCUGAGGCGCGAAAGCGUGGGGAGCAAACAGGAUUAGAUACCCCGGUAGUC
RNAcentral lists this ribosomal RNA (443 nucleotides) under uncultured bacterium. RNAcentral describes it as "partial 16S ribosomal RNA". It matches the Rfam family "Bacterial small subunit ribosomal RNA", at positions 338 to 795 of the family's 1533-position model. The record is from RNAcentral.